AGUUGUUUGGACUCGAGUCUUACAACUGCCUACGUACCCAAUUCUUUGGGAUCAAAGUCCACGUAGUUUGGUAGUUAAAAAGCUGAUAUGAAGUGUUUGCAUAAUCUUUACUAUUGUAAAAGUUACAUUAUCAUGCUCCUUCCUAUUUAAAACAUAUUUAUUUAUUGGUUUUGAUGGCAAAAAUUUUAGAACAAGAACCCUCGUGUUUAACCUUGAACUAAAUAGUAUCGGGUUUGAGCUCAAAUCUACACAAUAAAGUGAUGUGCAGAAACGGGCGUUCCAGUUAUUGUUGAUCAGAUUACCUUAGGGGUAGGAUUAAAGAUAAUGUCCAACAGGACUUAGCCCGACGUGGUCAAUUUGAAUUCAGGUAACGUAAUAAAAUGAUUAAAGGAUAUACAAACAAUAAUUAACGAGGUGUUGCAGUAUUGUAUAUAUAAUUGAUUUUGAAGUAAUGCAUGUGUUUGCAUGGUCUACAUAAUAAAGUGAUAUAAAAAACAAUAGUUAACGAGGUACUGUGGUAUUGUAUAUACAAUUGGUUUUGAUUUAAUCCACGUGUUUGGUAUAUGUACAUUUAGAAACAUAAUCGACUUAAACGAUGCAUUUUAGCUAAUAGUGGUGGAUAACUAGGUUGGACUUAACUUGUGUCGCUCGGUCAUUCAGCAAACAUAAUCGUGCUCUAUGAUAUAUACAUUAAGCAAACAUAGUGCACUCUAAGGAUAACUCAAAAAUCCAUGUAUAAAUGGUACGCUUCCUUUACUAUUCAGUAAGAUGUUCUUUGUAAUUAGCUUUUAAGAGUUGUAGUUAGCUUUCAACCUUAAUAGUUUACUUGUUUCAACAAAUUUAGUUUAUUAGUUUCAUUAGGUUUCUACAUUAGUUGAAUUUAUUUUAUAAACUAGUGUAUGUAUUAGUUGAUUUUAUUAUAUAAACUAGUCUAUGUUAUGGAUGAUGAUAUAGGCUUAGGAGUGGGAGUUAGCUCGGGUUUCUACAGGGCUUUGCCCGAACAAUUGGAUUUAGGAUAACCGUAAAAACUUUAAACUAAAUAGAAUUGGGUUGAGCUCGAAUCUACACAAUAAAGUGAUGUGCAGAAAAGGCCGUUCAAGUUAUUGAUGAUCAGAUUACCUUAGUGGUAGGAUUUGAAGUAAAAAUUCCAAUAGGACAUAGCCAGACCUGGUCAAUUGGAUUUCAGGUAACGUAAU
Molecule: long non-coding RNA, 1196 nt
Filed under: Linum usitatissimum (flax)
Lineage: Eukaryota; Viridiplantae; Streptophyta; Magnoliopsida; Malpighiales; Linaceae
Description: long non-coding RNA (LUSI_LNC004403)
Source: RNAcentral